UUUUUUACGAUGGAUAAUUCCUUAUUUUUCAUUGACGUAUUCUAUUUGAAUCUUGAUACGAUGAAUUUGUAUGAUGUUCAUGUAAAUCAUAAAGAGAAAAAUGAAAAUACGAUAUUAUUGAAGCAUGUUACAUUGAUCGAUAACAAUAAGAGGCACGUAUACAUAUAUGCGUGGUAGGUACUCUAUAGAGUGAGACAUAUACUCUAUAGUUACUUAUUUCAUAAUUUCAUGCAUGCAUAGAUAGAUAGAUAGAUAGAUAUAGAGCAGCUAUGCAUAGCUUGCCAUCUUACGUGGCAGUGGCAGGGAGUAAGAAUCGCAACAAACUUUAAGGAAGAAAACAAGGCAAUAGGUAUCGCAUUUGCCAAGUUCUGAUCCUGAUGAUCCCAACACAUGAUAAUAUCCACUUGCAGUUGCAGGGAUUAUUUCCACUACUUUUGUUGCAUCACUAGCACUAGUAGCUGCAGCAUAGGUGAAAAGCAAGCACACCAUCAACACAAACACCUUGCUAUUCAUCUUUAAUAAAAACAGCCUAUUCAAAUGUAUAUAUGUGUAUGUUUG
RNAcentral lists this long non-coding RNA (558 nucleotides) under Arachis ipaensis. Its description in RNAcentral is "long non-coding RNA (AIPA_LNC001375)". Lineage: Eukaryota; Viridiplantae; Streptophyta; Magnoliopsida; Fabales; Fabaceae. The record is from RNAcentral.